This is a transfer RNA of Oidiodendron maius Zn, 81 nucleotides long. It matches the Rfam family "tRNA". From Rfam's summary of the family: Transfer RNA (tRNA) molecules are approximately 80 nucleotides in length. Their secondary structure includes four short double-helical elements and three loops (D, anti-codon, and T loops). Lineage: Eukaryota; Fungi; Ascomycota; Leotiomycetes; Myxotrichaceae. The record is from Rfam.
GGCACGGUGGCUGAGUGGUUAAAGCGAUUGACUAGAAAUCAAUUUCCUUCGGGAGCGUAGGUUCGAAUCCUGCCCGUGUCG